GAUAUCUACCUCUUGGUGGGGGAUAACCUGGGGAAACCUGGGCUAAUACCGCAUAAGUUCGUGAGAAGAAAGGCGCAAGUCGCCGAGAGAGGAGUCCGCGGUCGAUUAGGUAGUUGGCGGGGUAAGAGCCCACCAAGCCAAAGAUCGAUAGCCGGCCUGAGAGGGCACACGGCCACACUGGCACUGAAACACGGGCCAGACUCCUACGGGAGGCAGCAGUGGGGAAUCUUGCACAAUGGGGGAAACCCUGAUGCAGCGACGCCGCGUGAGCGAUGAAGCCCUUCGGGGUGUAAAGCUCUUUCGGCAGGAACGAUAAUGACGGUACCUGCAGAAGAAGCUGCGGCUAACUACGUGCCAGCAGCCGCGGUAAUACGUAGGCAGCAAGCGUUGUUCGGAAUUACUGGGCGUAAAGAGUGUGUAGGUGGUGUCGUAAGUUUGGUGUGAAAUCUCCCGGCUUAACUGGGAGGGUGCGCCGAAGACUGCGAUGCUGGAGUAUGGGAGAGGAAAGCGGAAUUCCUGGUGUAGCGGUGAAAUGCGUAGAUAUCAGGAGGAACACCUGCGGUGUAGACGGCUUUCUGGACCAUUACUGACACUGAGACACGAAAGCGUGGGUAGCAAACAGGAUUAGAUACCCUGGUAGUCC
Molecule: ribosomal RNA, 643 nt
Filed under: uncultured bacterium
Lineage: Bacteria
Description: bacterial SSU rRNA
Rfam family: Bacterial small subunit ribosomal RNA
Source: RNAcentral